RNAcentral lists this ribosomal RNA (443 nucleotides) under uncultured bacterium. RNAcentral's name for it is "partial 16S ribosomal RNA". It matches the Rfam family "Bacterial small subunit ribosomal RNA", at positions 338 to 795 of the family's 1533-position model. The record is from RNAcentral.
CCUACGGGGGACAGCAGUGGGGAAUAUUGGGCAAUGGGCGAAAGCCUGACCCAGCAACGCCGCGUGAAGGAAGAAGGCUUUCGGGUUGUAAACUUCUUUUCUCAGGGACGAAGAAAGUGACGGUACCUGAGGAAUAAGCUACGGCUAACUACGUGCCAGCAGCCGCGGUAAUACGUAGGGGGCAAGCGUUAUUCGGAUUUACUGGGCGUAAAGGGGGGGUAGGCGGGACAGCAAGUCAGAUGUGAAUUCCACGGGGCUAACCUGUGGCCUGCAUUUGAAACUGUAGUUCUUGAGUGCCGGAGAGGCAGGUGGAAUUCCUAGUGUAGCGGUGAAAGGCGUAGAUAUUAGGAGGAACACCAGUGGCGAAGGCGGUCUGCUGGACAGCAACUGACGCUGAGGCACGAAAGCGUGGGGAGCAAACAGGAUUAGAUACCCUUGUAGUC